AUCUGAGGUAGUGUAGUGGUUAUCAUACUCGGCCCACGCCCGAGUAACCCAGGUUCAAUCCCUGGCCUCGACU
Molecule: non-coding RNA, 73 nt
Organism: Blepharisma stoltei
Lineage: Eukaryota; Ciliophora; Heterotrichea; Heterotrichida; Blepharismidae
Source: the annotation of a GenBank genome assembly